Molecule: transfer RNA, 73 nt
Filed under: Marmota marmota marmota (Alpine marmot)
Lineage: Eukaryota; Metazoa; Chordata; Mammalia; Rodentia; Sciuridae
Also listed under: 1 other name
Rfam family: tRNA
About the family: Transfer RNA (tRNA) molecules are approximately 80 nucleotides in length. Their secondary structure includes four short double-helical elements and three loops (D, anti-codon, and T loops). Further hydrogen bonds mediate the characteristic L-shaped molecular structure. tRNAs have two regions of fundamental functional importance: the anti-codon, which is responsible for specific mRNA codon recognition, and the 3' end, to which the tRNAs corresponding amino acid is attached (by aminoacyl-tRNA synthetases). tRNAs cope with the degeneracy of the genetic code in two manners: having more than one tRNA (with a specific anti-codon) for a particular amino acid; and 'wobble' base-pairing, i.e. permitting non-standard base-pairing at the 3rd anti-codon position.
Source: Rfam by way of RNAcentral
GGGGAUAUAGCUCAGUUGGUAGAGUGCUUGCCUUGCAUGUUUAAGGCCCUGGGUUCAAUCCUCAGCACCACCA